This 1416-nucleotide ribosomal RNA is filed under the name Triticum aestivum (bread wheat). RNAcentral describes it as "partial small subunit ribosomal RNA". Lineage: Eukaryota; Viridiplantae; Streptophyta; Magnoliopsida; Poales; Poaceae. The record is from RNAcentral.
AUGAAGAAGGCAUGCAAGCUCAUGACUUCGAGAUCAUCCUUUGUAGCAGCAAUUCUCUUCUUGGUCAUGUCUUCAAGCUGUAGAUUCGCACGUGCGGCGGAUACUCUCCUUCCAGGCCAAUCUCUGUAUGGUAACCGUACCCUAUUCUCGAAGAAUGGUGCCUUUGAGUUGAGUUUCAGCUGCCUAUCUCCUCCAUGUUCAGACUUUACAUUUGGCAUCUGGUAUGUCAACUCAUCAACUUGUAGUGCUCUUCUAGUUUGGUCACCUCCUCAAUUGCAAGGGUACCUCACCUCAGACCAUUGGAACUCGAUUCUUACCCUCUCAAAUGGCAACUUGUACCUCACCUUGCUGACCUAUGGCCAUGAUGCUAUUAUCUGGUCAUCAGAUGGUAUUGUGGAGAGACCAAAUGAAUCUACUUCUGCAGUUGCAGUACUUCUUGACAACGGAGAUCUGGUAAUAAGAGACAAAGUGAAUAGUUCAUUAUUGUUCUGGCAUAGCUUCGAUCACCCAACUGACACACUGCUACCUGGAGGACGGCUGGGAUAUGUUAAUAAUAUGAUCAGUACCAGGGGGCCUACUGAUGCUGUUUCUUGCGUCAGUUAUUCUAAACUGCGGAUGAAUAUAGACAGAGAAUUUACUGUUUUCACUUAUUACAACACUUCUUAUUACCUCAGUUAUAUUUAUACCAAUUAUUCCGGCACCUUCCCCAGGUGGAUGGAUAUUCAUGGAUAUUUGUCCAACAAUUCACAUUUAUAUUUACGGUUGCAUUAUGAUGGUACCAUUACUGCUGCUAAACUAUGGGGCUGUGGGACUGUGUUGUGGUCUGCUCAAGGUUCCAAGCAGGAAAACUCAGAAUGCAAGCAACAAGUAUUAGAUUCCAAGCAAGAAAAGUCAAAUUCAAAAAUUAAAAUCGUUGUUCUGAUUACAGUGGUAGGUGUGUUUACCAUUAUGCUUGUUUGCCUUGUUAUUUCCUGGAGAAGGAGAAAGAAGCUAUCCCUGGAACUACCAUUGAGUUCCAAUAGCAGCCUCGAGAUCUUUUCCAGCAUGCAAAUGAAGAAGGCAACGAAUAAUUUCUCCGAAAAACUUGGAGAAGGAGGUUUCGGUUGUGUUUACAAGGGGGCAUUGGCAAGUUUGUCUCUAGUGGCGGUCAAAAAGCUAAAAUGCAUUGGGCAAGGGGAAAAGCAAUUCCGAGCAGAAGUACAGACAAUUGGCAUAAUUCACCACAUUAAUCUUGUCCGAUUGUUUGGUUUUUGUGCCGAAGGGCAGAAACGGUUGCUGGUAUAUGAGUACAUGGAGAACGGUUCUUUGAGUUCUCAUCUGUUUUCGAAGAGUUCGGCCAUAUUGACCUGGGAUCUUCGGUACCAUAUAGCACUUGGAACUAGGAAUGCAAAGAAUGCAUUAUACACUGUGAUGUGA